ACAUGCCUACAUCAUAACGUUAAUUCAUUGGAUCCCAUUAGAAAUCUACAGUUAAGCACGCUCACGCUAGAGUAGUAUUGGGAUGGAUGACCGCCCGAGAAGUCCUAGUGUUUUACCUGCC
This is a non-coding RNA of Picea glauca (white spruce), 121 nucleotides long. The record is from Rfam. NCBI's taxonomy places the organism in Eukaryota, Viridiplantae, Streptophyta, Pinopsida, Pinales, Pinaceae.